RNA transcript from Haliotis rubra (blacklip abalone), 1066 nucleotides. RefSeq lists it as uncharacterized. Lineage: Eukaryota; Metazoa; Mollusca; Gastropoda; Lepetellida; Haliotidae. The transcript has 3 exons. The record is from RefSeq and is a predicted model, not a curated record.
GACACACCCCAUUUUGUAUAUUCUGUAUUUGAUAGGCUGAUGUAGGUUACAUCCAUUUUUGUAUCAGUCAACCAAUCAUAAUCUCUUUAUUGUUUUAAAUGUAGAUAAAAUGUCUCUUACUACAUUUGUCCAGCAGUAGGGUUUAGACUCCCAACACAGGUCAGCUCUAGCCCUCAGCCCAGAGGGUUGUACCGACUCUGUGGCCACCCCUUGUUACUCCGUUCUUGCAGAGACCAUAUAAUAGAGGGACGGCCCUCUAGCCAGUGCGCAAAACCAUCAGCGCUACGGCUUGUACGGCGCAGCCUAUCCGGAAGCUGGCGAAAACGAGUGUUGACUUCAGUCAUCGAUUUCGCGUAUUUUCGUUGCAAAGAUGCCCAGGAAAAAAAAGUUUUCAUCGGCAGUCGCCGGAAGGGCUACUCAAAGUGGGGUCCGAGACAACAAGGUGUCAGUUCUUCCUCUCUCUGACAUUCUUAUUCAUCAGUUCAAUCAACUGUUCUCGACGAUUGCAGUUCAAGAGAUGCACUGUGGGACAAAGCAUGGAAGUCAUUCUUCAUUGACCUCACCGAUGAACCCACAAAUACCCCAUGCCUGGAAGAAGCGACAUAUUCUGAUGGUUGUUCGGCUGAUGAAUUCUUUGGGUUUAUUUGACACAAUUCACCAGUAUCAUCCGGACAACAAUGUAGAUGAAUUUGUUGAUGACAUCCUGCGAUACCAGCAAUAUUUAACAUUAAAAAAGGAGCUCAUGUAGAUGAGCUAGGCAAUUUUACAAUUUCAAGAAACAAGCGUGAAAACAUUACUAUUGUGCAGUUUUAUGACUGAGGUAGGCUCAGUCCAGCUUUCAGUAGUCAUCAAGCCAUCCUUUACAUAUGCAAUACUAGUAUAUGCACAUCGACGUGACUUUGGCCCAAAUCAUGAAUUCUGGAUUGGUUUAACUGCAUUUUUCCCCAAAUGUAAUAAAGUACAUGAGUAGAAAUUAUGGAAAUUAAAAUCCAAUGUACAGUUCACUUCAUGGAUAUCUAAAAUAUCUGUUAAUGAAGUCAUAUUAAGAUUGUGUUCAGAUUUGUAU